This 1081-nucleotide long non-coding RNA is filed under the name Pogona vitticeps (central bearded dragon). RNAcentral describes it as "lncRNA (ENSPVIG00000016500.1)". The record is from RNAcentral. Lineage: Eukaryota; Metazoa; Chordata; Lepidosauria; Squamata; Agamidae.
AAGCCAAACCUAAAUGUGACCCAUCAGGAAUAGAAUACGAUAUUUCUGUGAUUCUUAUUAAUGCUUACACAUACGCAAUUUCAAGAGGAAAUGUUUGCAUGACCUUUUAAUUCGUAAAGCAUUCCAGCUGGAAAUCAAAACAGUACAUGAUUCUUAUUGCUUAACAUAAACGUAGUUGCCUAAGCCAUUUGAUAGCGCCAUGCGUACACACGCCUCCCAGAUGCAGUUUCUGAAUGAAGCUGCAAUUAUGAAAAUUGAUUUCAUUGUGUUUUUAGCCUGACACAGAUGGAAUACAUGGGCUUAUGUUCAUUUCGAGCAAUUGCUUUGGGGAGCAGGAACAUCACAACACACAUACAGCAUUAAGACAGGUACAAAAGGUUGCAGGUCUCAGGAUAGGAUUUGCCCCUAAAAUCUCAGCGAAUCGGCUACUGCUGAUUAGGAAGCCCCGUACCUUGAGGGUUCAUUCUAAUGGCUUUAUGGCAUGCCAUUUAGACAUGUUUAGAAGUACUCUUGUCUUUUUCAUUACCUUACAUGCUCCAGAACUGCGGCUCCUAUUGGAAUUCACAUGCUACUCUUUAAAUUCAUCAUGAAGACUCAAGAACAUUUUGCAAUUGCUGCCUGUGCGGCCCCCACCGGACCCCAAUCCCAAGAGCUUCCACCCAGGUUUCAGGUUCUGGUGCAGAAAUCUCCAGGUAGGCAACCCAUGAGAGGUCCGAAACACAUCCACAAGAGGAAGGGCCUUCUCCAUGGUGGCACUGACUUUGUGGAAUCAGCUCCCAAUGGAGCUAUGCCUGGCCCUCUCCCUGUUAAUGUUUAGAAGGCCACUUAAAAUGCUGCUUUUCAGGGAGGCCUUCCAUACUGACCCUGUUUGAUUUCAAUUUUAUGCCUCUCAUCCUGCUGUUUAUAUAGAGAACUGCUUAUGGUGCCAUUUGGAUUAUUUGGUUAAACAUUUUCAUUUUAUUAUUUGUAUUUCAUUUUUACAUAUUUUAUUUACUGUUGCAAACCACUCAUAGCACUAAUAGGGCAGUAUAUAAAUCAAAUCAAAUCAAUCAACAAAUAAAUAAACAAAUCUCUCAGAACA